GACGAACGCUGGCGGCGUGCCUAAUACAUGCAAGUCGAACGCACAGUUUAUACCGUAGCUUGCUACACCAUAGACUGUGAGUUGCGAACGGUUGAGUAACGCGUAGGUAUCCUGCCUGGUAGCGGGGGAUAACUAUUGGAAACGAUAGCUAAUACCUCAUACUAUUAAUUAUUGCAUGAUAAUUAAUUGAAAGGUGCAAUUGCACCACUACCAGAUGGACCUUCGUUGUAUUAGCUAGUAGGUGAGGUAACGGCUCACCUAGGCGACGAUACAUAGCCGACCUGAGAGGGUGAUCGGCCACACUGGGACGGAGACACGGCCCAGACGGCUACGGGAGGCAGCAGGAGGGAAACUUCGGAAAGGGACGAAAGGCUGACCGAGAAACGCCGCGGGAGGGAAGAAGGGUGUCGGAUCGGAAAGGUCGGUUGUAAGAGAAGAAAGGGUGUGAGAGUGGAAAGUUCACACUGUGACGGUAUCGUACCAGAAAGGGACGGCUAACUACGUG
RNAcentral lists this ribosomal RNA (505 nucleotides) under uncultured bacterium. Its description in RNAcentral is "partial 16S ribosomal RNA". It matches the Rfam family "Bacterial small subunit ribosomal RNA", at positions 28 to 507 of the family's 1533-position model. The record is from RNAcentral.